CCUACGGGUGGCAGCAGUGAGGAAUAUUGGUCAUUGGCCGAGAGGCUGAACCAGCCAAGUCGCGUGAGGGAUGACGGCCCUACGGGUUGUAAACCUCUUUUGUCGGGGAGCAAAGAGAGUCACGUGUGGGUUAUUGAGAGUACCCGAAGAAAAAGCAUCGGCUAACCUCGUGGCAGCAGCCGCGGUAAUACGGGGGAUGCGAGCGUUAUCCGGAUUUUUUGGGGUUAAAGGGUGCGCAGGCGGAGUUGCAAGGCAGUGGUCAAAUUGCGGGGCUCAACCCCGUACUGCCGUUGAAACUGCAUCCCUUGAGUGCGCGAGAAGUAUGCGGAAUGCGUGGUGUAGCGGUGAAAUGCAUAGAUAUCACGCAGAACUCCGAUUGCGAAGGCAGCAUACCGGCGCGCAACUGACGCUCAUGCACGAAAGCGUGGGUAUCGAACAGGAUUAGAUACCCCAGUAGUC
RNAcentral lists this ribosomal RNA (459 nucleotides) under uncultured bacterium. RNAcentral describes it as "partial 16S ribosomal RNA". It matches the Rfam family "Bacterial small subunit ribosomal RNA", at positions 338 to 795 of the family's 1533-position model. The record is from RNAcentral.